ACAUAGCUCAGUUGGUAGAGCAUGAGACUCUUAAUCUCAGGAUCUUGGGUUUGAGCCCCACAUGAGGUGAAAUA
Molecule: transfer RNA, 74 nt
Filed under: Podarcis lilfordi (Lilford's wall lizard)
Lineage: Eukaryota; Metazoa; Chordata; Lepidosauria; Squamata; Lacertidae
Description: tRNA.Lys
Rfam family: tRNA (bases 4-61)
About the family: Transfer RNA (tRNA) molecules are approximately 80 nucleotides in length. Their secondary structure includes four short double-helical elements and three loops (D, anti-codon, and T loops).
Source: RNAcentral